AUACGUAGGUCCCGAGCGUUGUCCGGAUUUAUUGGGCGUAAAGCGAGCGCAGGCGGUUUGAUAAGUCUGAAGUUAAAGGCUGUGGCUCAACCAUAGUUCGCUUUGGAAACUGUCAAACUUGAGUGCAGAAGGGGAGAGUGGAAUUCCAUGUGUAGCGGUGAAAUGCGUAGAUAUAUGGAGGAACACCGGUGGCGAAAGCGGCUCUCUGGUCUGUAACUGACGCUGAGGCUCGAAAGCGUGGGGAGCGAACAGGAUUAGAUACCCUGGUAGUCCACGCCGUAAACGAUGAGUGCUAGGUGUUGGAUCCUUUCCGGGAUUCAGUGCCGCAGCUAACGCAUUAAGCACUCCGCCUGGGGAGUACGACCGCAAGGUUGAA
Molecule: ribosomal RNA, 376 nt
Filed under: uncultured bacterium
Lineage: Bacteria
Description: bacterial SSU rRNA
Rfam family: Bacterial small subunit ribosomal RNA
Source: RNAcentral